Molecule: ribosomal RNA, 1037 nt
Filed under: Acinetobacter seifertii
Lineage: Bacteria; Pseudomonadati; Pseudomonadota; Gammaproteobacteria; Moraxellales; Moraxellaceae
Description: bacterial SSU rRNA
Rfam family: Bacterial small subunit ribosomal RNA
Source: RNAcentral
CGAAGGAGCUUACCAUGCAAGUCGAGCGGAGAGAGGUAGCUUGCUACUGAUCUUAGCGGCGGACGGGUGAGUAAUGCUUAGGAAUCUGCCUAUUAGUGGGGGACAACAUCUCGAAAGGGAUGCUAAUACCGCAUACGUCCUACGGGAGAAAGCAGGGGAUCUUCGGACCUUGCGCUAAUAGAUGAGCCUAAGUCGGAUUAGCUAGUUGGUGGGGUAAAGGCCUACCAAGGCGACGAUCUGUAGCGGGUCUGAGAGGAUGAUCCGCCACACUGGGACUGAGACACGGCCCAGACUCCUACGGGAGGCAGCAGUGGGGAAUAUUGGACAAUGGGGGGAACCCUGAUCCAGCCAUGCCGCGUGUGUGAAGAAGGCCUUAUGGUUGUAAAGCACUUUAAGCGAGGAGGAGGCUACUUUAGUUAAUACCUAGAGAUAGUGGACGUUACUCGCAGAAUAAGCACCGGCUAACUCUGUGCCAGCAGCCGCGGUAAUACAGAGGGUGCAAGCGUUAAUCGGAUUUACUGGGCGUAAAGCGCGCGUAGGCGGCUAAUUAAGUCAAAUGUGAAAUCCCCGAGCUUAACUUGGGAAUUGCAUUCGAUACUGGUUAGCUAGAGUGUGGGAGAGGAUGGUAGAAUUCCAGGUGUAGCGGUGAAAUGCGUAGAGAUCUGGAGGAAUACCGAUGGCGAAGGCAGCCAUCUGGCCUAACACUGACGCUGAGGUGCGAAAGCAUGGGGAGCAAACAGGAUUAGAUACCCUGGUAGUCCAUGCCGUAAACGAUGUCUACUAGCCGUUGGGGCCUUUGAGGCUUUAGUGGCGCAGCUAACGCGAUAAGUAGACCGCCUGGGGAGUACGGUCGCAAGACUAAAACUCAAAUGAAUUGACGGGGGCCCGCACAAGCGGGGGAGCAUGGGGUUUAAUUCGAUGCAACGCGAAGAACCUUACCUGGCCUUGACAUAGUAAGAACUUUCCAGAGAUGGAUUGGUGCCUUCGGGAACUUACUUACAGGGGCUGCAUGGCUGUCGUCAGCUCGUGCCCGGAAA